This 496-nucleotide ribosomal RNA is filed under the name uncultured bacterium. RNAcentral describes it as "partial 16S ribosomal RNA". It matches the Rfam family "Bacterial small subunit ribosomal RNA", at positions 28 to 507 of the family's 1533-position model. The record is from RNAcentral.
GAUGAACGCUGGCGGCGUGCCUAAUACAUGCAAGUCGAGCGAACGGACGAGAAGCUUGCUUCUCUGAUGUUAGCGGCGGACGGGUGAGUAACACGUGGAUAACCUACCUAUAAGACUGGGAUAACUUCGGGAAACCGGAGCUAAUACCGGAUAAUAUUUUGAACCGCAUGGUUCAAAAGUGAAAGACGGUCUUGCUGUCACUUAUAGAUGGAUCCGCGCUGCAUUAGCUAGUUGGUAAGGUAACGGCUUACCAAGGCAACGAUGCAUAGCCGACCUGAGAGGUUAUUCGGCCCCCCUGAACUGGGAAACGGUCCCGGCUCCUAAGGGAGGCCGGCGGAGGGAAUCUUCCCGCAUGGGCGGAAACCUGGCGGAGCAACGCCGCGGUAGUGAUGAAGGGCUUCGGAUCGGUAAACUCUGUUAUUAGGGAAGAACAUUUGUGUAAGUAACUGGGGACAUUUUGACGGUACCUUAUCAGAAAGCCACGGCUAACUACGUG